RNAcentral lists this ribosomal RNA (254 nucleotides) under uncultured bacterium. RNAcentral describes it as "partial 16S ribosomal RNA". It matches the Rfam family "Bacterial small subunit ribosomal RNA", at positions 524 to 776 of the family's 1533-position model. The record is from RNAcentral.
UACGAAGGGUGCAAACGUUGCUCGGAAUUAUUUGGGCGUAAAGCGCACGUAGGCGGCUUGGCAAGUCGGAUGUGAAAGCCCACGGCUCAACCAUGGAAGUGCAUCCGAAACUGCUGAGCUUGAGUACUUAAGAGGAUCGCGGAAUUCCCGGUGUAGAGGUGAAAUUCGUAGAUAUCGGGAGGAACACCAGUGGCGAAGGCGGCGAUCUGGGAAGAUACUGACGCUGAGGUGCGAAAGCGUGGGUAGCAAACAGG